RNAcentral lists this ribosomal RNA (253 nucleotides) under uncultured bacterium. RNAcentral's name for it is "partial 16S ribosomal RNA". It matches the Rfam family "Bacterial small subunit ribosomal RNA", at positions 793 to 1055 of the family's 1533-position model. The record is from RNAcentral.
GUCCAUGCCCUAAACUUUGUGUACUUGAUGUGGGAGACUAGAUCUCUCGCGUCGGAGCUAACGCGUUAAGUACACCGCCUGGGGAGUACGGCCGCAAGGUUAAAACUCAAAGGAAUUGACGGGGGCCCGCACAAGCAGUGGAGCAUGUGGUUUAAUUCGAUGCAACGCGAAAACCUUACCCUGGUUUUUGAAUAUUAUCGGUGUAGAGAUACACCUUCUACGGAUAAUUCAUAAGGUGCUGCAUGGCUGUCGU